CGACAACAAAAGACGCGGACGGCGGCUGCGCGGUGUGGCAGAGCGAAGCUGAGGAGUCCAGCGCUCGCCGACAGGGGCCUGGGCUGUCCCGAGCCGGAGGGAUCCUCUCGCUUCAGCCUUCUGAGUAGCUGGGAUUACAGGCGCACGCCACCAUGCCUGCCUAAUUUUUGUAUUUUUAGUAGAGACAGGGUUUCUCCAUGUUGCCCAGGCUGGUCUCGAACUCCUGGGCUCAAGUGAUCCACCCGCCCUGGCCUCCCAAAGUGCUGGGAUUACAGAUGUGAACCACCGUGCUGGGCCAUGGUUUUUUUUUUUUCAAGGGUAGUGAAUAUUAUCAAUUCAUUGUUGUUAGUGUUAUUAAUAAAAUAUUAUUUCAGUCUAGUUGUCUGUGUUACUUAAUGGUAAUCUUC
This 407-nucleotide long non-coding RNA is filed under the name Homo sapiens (human). RNAcentral's name for it is "HSALNT0151114". Lineage: Eukaryota; Metazoa; Chordata; Mammalia; Primates; Hominidae. The record is from RNAcentral.